GAUGAACGCUGACAGAAUGCUUAACACAUGCAAGUCGAACGAGGUAAACAAGAUGAAGUUUUCGGAUGGUAUUCUUAUUUACCGAGUGGCGGACGGGUGAGUAACGCGUGGGUAACCUGCCUCGAUACAGGGGGAUAACGGUUAGAAAUGACUGCUAAUACCGCAUAAGCGCACAGUACCGCAUGGUACGGUGUGAAAAACUCCGGUGGUAAUGAGAUGGACCCGCGUCUGAUUAGCUAGUUGGUGAGGUAACGGCCCACCAAGGCGACGAUCAGUAGCCGACCUGAGAGGGUGACCGGCCACACUGGGACUGAGACACGGCCCAG
RNAcentral lists this ribosomal RNA (326 nucleotides) under uncultured bacterium. RNAcentral describes it as "bacterial SSU rRNA". It matches the Rfam family "Bacterial small subunit ribosomal RNA", at positions 28 to 334 of the family's 1533-position model. The record is from RNAcentral.